Molecule: ribosomal RNA, 484 nt
Filed under: uncultured bacterium
Lineage: Bacteria
Description: partial 16S ribosomal RNA
Rfam family: Bacterial small subunit ribosomal RNA
Source: RNAcentral
GACGAACGCUGGCGGCGUGCUUAACACAUGCAAGUCGAACGAUGAAGCUGGAGCUUGCUCCGGUGGAUUAGUGGCGAACGGGUGAGUAACACGUGAGCAAUCUGCCCUUGACUCUGGGAUAACUGCGGGAAACUGUAGCUAAUACCGGAUACUUUCACUGGAAGGCAUCUUCUGGUGAAGAAAGAAUCUCGGUCAAGGAUGAGCUCGCGGCCUAUCAGCUUGUUGGUGAGGUAACGGCUCACCAAGGCGACGACGGGUAGCCGGCCUGGGAGGGUGAACGGCCACACUGGGCAUGAGACACGGCCCAGACUCCUACGGGAGGCAGCAGUGGGGAAUAUUGCUCAAUGGGCGCAAGCCUGAUGCAGCAACGCCGCGUGAGGGAUGAAGGCCUUCGGGUUGUAAACCUCUUUUAGUAGGGAAGAAGCGAAAGUGACGGUACCUGCAGAAAAAGCACCGGCUAACUACGUGCCAGCAGCCGCGGUAA